UUUUUAAUUUCCUUUGGGAAUUAUUAGACUGUAUAAUAGACUAACUGGUUUAGAGUCAUAUAUCUAUGGUUUGACUUUUAGAUACUUUCAGUUUUAAAGAGGGAUUUCAGUUGGUCUAAUUUAUCCUGAAAAAAUAAAGCCAUGAAAGCAGCUUCUACUCACUGGAUAUUAAGAAUAUCUCCCAUCUCUUCCUAAGUCAUCUGAUUGUCAAUCCUGUUUCAACAGUGGGAAGCAGAUACAUUUUCCACCACUGACCCUUCUACAUACUUUAA
Molecule: long non-coding RNA, 272 nt
Filed under: Cricetulus griseus (Chinese hamster)
Lineage: Eukaryota; Metazoa; Chordata; Mammalia; Rodentia; Cricetidae
Description: lncRNA (ENSCGRG00000024837.1)
Source: RNAcentral